AAGGAGUUGGCCAAGAGCCAGCACCAGGCAUCAGAGGAAGGCAGCUGACUGCACUCGGCCACAUCCCAAAAGUGCCUGGAAGGGGAGGGAGGAAGCAGGCGCUUCAGAAGGCACUACUGUGUGUCAGGACUCAUGCUAGGAACGCUGUAACAGGGAGCAGUGAUGGAGUCCUUGAGGGAGCUCAGGAGGGGGAAUUGCACUGAAGAUUUGUCCCAUCGUGAAGCAAGAGCACUGGAACUUACACUCCACCAUCAGGCCCUGUCACAGGAGAACAAAGAAGGAAGGCAGAGGAGAUCAUGCUCCGGCCAGCAGGGAAUCUCCAUUUUUUUCAGCCUCAUACCUUGGAAAGUACAAAGGAGUGAGAGCUGGGACUACCAGCCAGAGGGUUCAUGGAGGUAGUGGGAGGGGAAGAUGGGUUCUGCAUGGAGCCACUCCAGGGACUUUUCUUCUGUCUCACAGCCUGACAAUCACCUCUAGCUGUUCUCAGUCCCAUUCUCAUCAAUGACCUCGUCUCCUGAUUUUGUACAAUAUCUAGGUGACCUUCUCUUCUUUCCAUCUUCAAACGCUUGAUCAUUGAUGCUCCCUUUUCUCUUCUCUCUCCUCCUGGGAAAAGAGAAGGACCAACAUCCCCCUUUCCCUUCCUCCUGUGCUGUCCCGACCCCUCUGAGACCUGGCUCUAGCAGUAAGUCCCUCUCUCUUCUGCAGCACCAGCCUCUGCCCAUCCCUGCCCUCUGCACACAAAGCUCUCACAUUGUCUGCACUUUAAGAACUUUUGUGGCAAACCCUGGCAAAUCCUGCCACUUGUUUCCACUCUUCUCAAAUGGCUUUGAGGUCAUCAUUGACCUAUCCCAUUUGACCCUGUCCUGUAUCUGAUGUUGUACCCUUUCUCCUUGAUCCCACUCUGGCAACUCUCCCACUCCCCUUUCUUGGAUCAACUGUCUUGCUCCUCAGUCUUGAUCAAUGCCUCCUUCUCUCUCUUUAGCCUUGGCCCUUUUUGGCCAGGGAAAUAAAUGUGAAAUACAUAAAGCUUCAUUUUAUCUUAUGAUUAUAGCUAUGUUGAUGUUACCCAAGACCUAAAAGUCACACUCUCUAAUUACACUUCCCUCCUGUGUUCUGGGUCCUCUUGGACCAGUCCUUACUCUGGCUCCCCUCCUGGAUGUCUCCCAGACUUCUAAUUAGAAUUACUGUUUCCUAUAUCAAGCUAAUUAUCUUUCCCACCAACCUCCUCCAUCCUUGGGUGAAAGCAUCACUUGGUUGCAAAAGUCAGAAAUCUGGGUUUCAUUCUUGCGGUAGGUAGAAUAAUGCCCCCAGGCCCCAGGUUUUGACAUCCGAAUCCCUGGGACUUUGCAGAUGUGAUUCAGUUUAGGAUUUUGAGAUGGGGAGAUUAUCUGGGAGAGCCUGAUGUCAUCAUAAGGUUCUUAUAAGAGGGAGGCAGGAGGGUUAGAGUGAGUAGUAAGAGAUGCAACAGUGGAAGCAAGAGGUUGGGGUGAUGUGGCCACAAGCCCAGGAGUGCUGACAGACAUCAGAAGCUGGAAGGGACAAGGAAUGGUUUCUCCUCUGGAGCCUCCAGAAAGAACCAGCCCUGCUGACACCUUGAUUUUAGCCUUGGAAGACUCAUUUUGGACUUCUGACCUUGAACGUUGUAAGAGAAUAAAUUUACAUAUUUUAAACUGGUA
This 1676-nucleotide long non-coding RNA is filed under the name Homo sapiens (human). RNAcentral describes it as "non-protein coding ZMIZ1-AS1:17". Lineage: Eukaryota; Metazoa; Chordata; Mammalia; Primates; Hominidae. The record is from RNAcentral.